Molecule: long non-coding RNA, 1513 nt
Organism: Lathyrus oleraceus (garden pea)
Lineage: Eukaryota; Viridiplantae; Streptophyta; Magnoliopsida; Fabales; Fabaceae
Exons: 5
Source: RefSeq, a predicted model, not a curated record
AAGCGCUUAUGCAAAUAAGCUACGAAAACAAAUCAAGGCGAAAACAAAUCAUGGAUUCGCGUUUACAAUAACAACAUCACGCUUCAUAUCAGAGCAUCGUGCUCAUCACUAUAGCUCAUGGAUUCAUGUUCUUGGAUUUAUUUCGACAUCAUUCAUGGAAGUUCGUAAAACUGAGGCGAGACUCAGAUCAAAAUGAGAAAUGACUCACCGAAUUUCCAAGAACAUGUUAGCUUAUGGAGAUCGAAACAAGUAUCUCUGCGAAACCCUUUCGGUGUUCAGAAUUUGGUCUUCCCUAUUUGAUGCUUGGAUCCGGAGAAGUGAAAACUUAGUGAAAGCAUGAGUAACUUUGGUUUACAGACUUCAUCUUCUACUUUGUGAUACAGGUGUUUUUGUUAUGGAAAUCCUAGGGUGGAGUUCUAGUAUGGAUGAAGUUCUUAGAUCCGCUUCUGGUUCGGUUGAGGAUGUGAAACUGUUUUGCUGUGAUCAAACUCAGGUUAACCAUUUGCCUUGGAAGUUAUGUUAGAGGCUGCUAUGGAGUUUUCGGUUUUGUAUGGAGGUUAACCAACCAAUUAGUAAGGGCAGAUUCAGGUUGUGGCUUUGAAUCGUGCUGUUGGAGGUUAGGUGGAUAUCAUUUGGGUUGAAAUUCGUUGGACAGUUGGAAGUUCGGUUGGAAUUUGUUAUGAUUCUAUUCUGAAUUCAGUUGAAAUUUGGAAAUUCGGUUAGAUGUUGGUUUUUACUAAAGUUCUAUUAGUGAAGUGAUUUAGAAAAUGCUGUUAGAUAGUGAAUUAUUCUUUUGUGCAGUUAGUAAAAAUGUUGUUAUGAAUAUUGUUAAUUCUGUUAGAUGUUGAAUGUUGUUAGUUCAAUUGAUUAUAAUGCUUUUAAUCGAAACUGAUGGAAAUAUGUUAUAUUAGCUAAUGUGAAGUGAAAAAAUCAGAAUUGAAACGAACAUUGUAUUUCUUACCAAUUCCUGUUAUGGAACGAAAGGCGUCGCCGUCAUAGCUUAUUGGAGAACUGUUUUGGAGUUGUUAUAAGUUUAGGAUGGGAUUACUUGAUGUCUUGUUAUUUGUUGGCUGCUGCAGCUUGGAUUAAUGUGAAUAUGCCUGGGACUGAUACAGGUUAUUGACCGUUGAUGUUUGUGCAGGAUCCUUUGGUUUGCAACUUGCAGGUGUGAUGCAUAAUUGGUUAAUUACUGCAUAAUUUUGGACAUAUUUGCUUCAGGAAUGAAUAGAAAGUCUGAAGGUUAUUGGUUAGCUUGGGAAUUUCGGCUUGGAUGCGGCUACAAAGCACAUUGGAUGGCGGGUCUGUUUUGGAAUUCUUAUGGAGUGCUAUGGCCUUGAUGAUGUUGAUUCGCCACUGUUAAAAAAAUCAUAUGUAAUGGAUUGGGAUAUAUAGAAUGUAUUGAAAUGGUUGGGUAGUGACUAUUGUAAUUUAUGGAAAUGUUGUAAUGGUUGUAUAAUGUCAUGGUUUUGUGGUUUAUGUGCUUUGAGCGCAAAUGUAUUUUGGAAUUGGAAUG